Macrobrachium nipponense is the source of this 547-nucleotide long non-coding RNA. RefSeq lists it as uncharacterized. Lineage: Eukaryota; Metazoa; Arthropoda; Malacostraca; Decapoda; Palaemonidae. The transcript has 3 exons. The record is from RefSeq and is a predicted model, not a curated record.
GACGCCGCUACCGUCCCGGUUGUCAUAUGUGUUAUUAGUUUGUGUUUGCGAUGUGAUGAAAUUGCGUGCGGGUUAUUUUUUUUUAAUUGGGGUGCUUUCUUCAUAUUGAUUGGACACCAGAUUUCGAUUGCUCCACCGGCCACUGUCUGGAAUUCUUCUCGCUAUCUCGUAGGUGGAAUAAUUGGUUUCUGGAUGACAAGGUAAGUGUCAUUAUCCAUCAGCCGAGAGGAUUUUUGCCUUUUAGAGUCAAGGUAAGUUCUUUGUUGACUUUUAAAGAGAAGUAGAAUUGUUCAAAUUAUGAUGAUGACGAUUUGGGGACAGGUUUUUGUCUAAAUAUUCGUUUACUAUUGUAGUCUUGAUUACAUUUGUGACUUUUCUGUGGCGAAGUCUCACGAGGAAGAUGGAAACUGACGUUGUUCGUGAAUUCCAUAGAUCUACUAACACAUUUACCGACUAGCAGUCACGUCCGUCGUGAAGGGAUAGCUUUUAAGGCCGAGAGUUUAUAUUUACAGGUAUCUAAAUUUACAAGAGAUGAGGCUGAAAGCCU